UACGUAGGCAGCGAGCGUUGUUCGGAAUUACUGGGCGUAAAGAGUGUGUAGGCGGUGUUCCCAGUCUGUUGUGAAAUCUCCCGGCUCAACUGGGAGGGUGCGCCGAAUACUGAAUGACUAGAGUGCGGGAGAGGAUAGUGGAAUUCCUGGUGUAGCGGUGAAAUGCGUAGAUAUCAGGAGGAACACCGGUGGUGUAGACGGCUAUCUGGACCGUAACUGACGCUGAGGCACGAAAGCGUGGGUAGCAAACAGG
RNAcentral lists this ribosomal RNA (253 nucleotides) under uncultured bacterium. Its description in RNAcentral is "partial 16S ribosomal RNA". It matches the Rfam family "Bacterial small subunit ribosomal RNA", at positions 524 to 776 of the family's 1533-position model. The record is from RNAcentral.